GGCGGCGUGCUAACACAUGCAAGUCGAACGGAGUUUUAACGGAAGUUUCGGAUGAAGUUAGAACUAGUGGCGGACGGGUGAGUAACGCGUGGGUAACCUGCCUCAUACAGGGGGAGUAACAGUUAGAAAUGACUGCUAACACCGCAUAAUAUAGCGAAACCGCAUGAUUUUGCUAUCAAAUAUUUAUAGGUAUGAGAUGGGCCCGCGUCUGACUAGCUAGUUGGUGGGGUAAAAGCCUACCAAGGCGACGAUCAGUAGCCGGCUUGAGAGAGUGACCGGCCACAUUGGGACUGAGACACGGCCCAAACUCCUACGGGAGGCAGCAGUGGGGAAUAUUGGACAAUGGGGGAAACCCUGAUCCAGCGAACCGCCGCGUGAGUGAAGAAGUAUUUCGGUAUGUAAAGCUCUAUCAGCAGGGAAGAUAAUGACAGUACCUGACUAAGAAGCCCCGGCUAACUACGUGCCAGCCGCAGC
This 474-nucleotide ribosomal RNA is filed under the name uncultured bacterium. RNAcentral's name for it is "bacterial SSU rRNA". It matches the Rfam family "Bacterial small subunit ribosomal RNA", at positions 38 to 518 of the family's 1533-position model. The record is from RNAcentral.